RNAcentral lists this ribosomal RNA (2906 nucleotides) under Enterobacter hormaechei. RNAcentral's name for it is "23S ribosomal RNA". It matches the Rfam family "Bacterial large subunit ribosomal RNA". Lineage: Bacteria; Pseudomonadati; Pseudomonadota; Gammaproteobacteria; Enterobacterales; Enterobacteriaceae. The record is from RNAcentral.
GGUUAAGCGACUAAGCGUACACGGUGGAUGCCCUGGCAGUCAGAGGCGAUGAAGGACGUGCUAAUCUGCGAAAAGCGCCGGCGAGGUGAUAUGAACCUUUGACCCGGCGAUGUCCGAAUGGGGAAACCCAGUGCAAUCCGUUGCACUAUCGUUAACUGAAUACAUAGGUUAACGAGGCGAACCGGGGGAACUGAAACAUCUAAGUACCCCGAGGAAAAGAAAUCAACCGAGAUUCCCCCAGUAGCGGCGAGCGAACGGGGAGCAGCCCGGAGUCUGAAUCAGCUUGUGUGUUAGUGGAACGGUCUGGAAAGUCCGACGGUACAGGGUGAUAGUCCCGUACACGAAAGCACACUUGCUGUGAACUCGAAGAGUAGGGCGGGACACGUGGUAUCCUGUCUGAAUAUGGGGGGACCAUCCUCCAAGGCUAAAUACUCCUGACUGACCGAUAGUGAACCAGUACCGUGAGGGAAAGGCGAAAAGAACCCCGGCGAGGGGAGUGAAAAAGAACCUGAAACCGUGUACGUACAAGCAGUGGGAGCCUCUUUAUGGGGUGACUGCGUACCUUUUGUAUAAUGGGUCAGCGACUUAUAUUCUGUAGCAAGGUUAACCGUAUAGGGGAGCCGAAGGGAAACCGAGUCUUAACUGGGCGUUAAGUUGCAGGGUAUAGACCCGAAACCCGGUGAUCUAGCCAUGGGCAGGUUGAAGGUUGGGUAACACUAACUGGAGGACCGAACCGACUAAUGUUGAAAAAUUAGCGGAUGACCUGUGGCUGGGGGUGAAAGGCCAAUCAAACCGGGAGAUAGCUGGUUCUCCCCGAAAGCUAUUUAGGUAGCGCCUCGUGAAUUCAUCUUCGGGGGUAGAGCACUGUUUCGGCUAGGGGGCCAUCCCGGCUUACCAACCCGAUGCAAACUACGAAUACCGAAGAAUGUUAUCACGGGAGACACACGGCGGGUGCUAACGUCCGUCGUGAAGAGGGAAACAACCCAGACCGCCAGCUAAGGUCCCAAAGUCAUGGUUAAGUGGGAAACGAUGUGGGAAGGCACAGACAGCCAGGAUGUUGGCUUAGAAGCAGCCAUCAUUUAAAGAAAGCGUAAUAGCUCACUGGUCGAGUCGGCCUGCGCGGAAGAUGUAACGGGGCUAAACCAUGCACCGAAGCUGCGGCAGCGACGCUUAGGCGUUGUUGGGUAGGGGAGCGUUCUGUAAGCCGUUGAAGGUGUCCUGUGAGGGGUGCUGGAGGUAUCAGAAGUGCGAAUGCUGACAUAAGUAACGAUAAAGCGGGUGAAAAGCCCGCUCGCCGGAAGACCAAGGGUUCCUGUCCAACGUUAAUCGGGGCAGGGUGAGUCGACCCCUAAGGCGAGGCCGAAAGGCGUAGUCGAUGGGAAACAGGUUAAUAUUCCUGUACUUGGUGUUACUGCGAAGGGGGGACGGAGAAGGCUAUGUCAGCCGGGCGACGGUUGUCCCGGUUUAAGCAUGUAGGCGGAGGUUCCAGGUAAAUCCGGUACCUUAUUAACGCUGAGGUGUGAUGACGAGGCACUACGGUGCUGAAGUGAUAAAUGCCCUGCUUCCAGGAAAAGCCUCUAAGCAUCAGGUAACACGAAAUCGUACCCCAAACCGACACAGGUGGUCAGGUAGAGAAUACCAAGGCGCUUGAGAGAACUCGGGUGAAGGAACUAGGCAAAAUGGUGCCGUAACUUCGGGAGAAGGCACGCUGAUGUGUAGGUGAAGUCCCUGCGGACGGAGCUGAAAUCAGUCGAAGAUACCAGCUGGCUGCAACUGUUUAUUAAAAACACAGCACUGUGCAAACACGAAAGUGGACGUAUACGGUGUGACGCCUGCCCGGUGCCGGAAGGUUAAUUGAUGGGGUUAGCGGCAACGCGAAGCUCUUGAUCGAAGCCCCGGUAAACGGCGGCCGUAACUAUAACGGUCCUAAGGUAGCGAAAUUCCUUGUCGGGUAAGUUCCGACCUGCACGAAUGGCGUAAUGAUGGCCAGGCUGUCUCCACCCGAGACUCAGUGAAAUUGAACUCGCUGUGAAGAUGCAGUGUACCCGCGGCAAGACGGAAAGACCCCGUGAACCUUUACUAUAGCUUGACACUGAACACUGGUCCUUGAUGUGUAGGAUAGGUGGGAGGCUUUGAAGCGUGGACGCCAGUCUGCGUGGAGCCAACCUUGAAAUACCACCCUUUAAUGGCUGGUGUUCUAACGUAGACCCGUAAUCCGGGUUGCGGACAGUGUCUGGUGGGUAGUUUGACUGGGGCGGUCUCCUCCCAAAGAGUAACGGAGGAGCACGAAGGUUGGCUAAUCCUGGUCGGACAUCAGGAGGUUAGUGCAAUGGCAUAAGCCAGCUUGACUGCGAGCGUGACGGCGCGAGCAGGUGCGAAAGCAGGUCAUAGUGAUCCGGUGGUUCUGAAUGGAAGGGCCAUCGCUCAACGGAUAAAAGGUACUCCGGGGAUAACAGGCUGAUACCGCCCAAGAGUUCAUAUCGACGGCGGUGUUUGGCACCUCGAUGUCGGCUCAUCACAUCCUGGGGCUGAAGUAGGUCCCAAGGGUAUGGCUGUUCGCCAUUUAAAGUGGUACGCGAGCUGGGUUUAGAACGUCGUGAGACAGUUCGGUCCCUAUCUGCCGUGGGCGCUGGAGAAUUGAGGGGGGCUGCUCCUAGUACGAGAGGACCGGAGUGGACGCAUCACUGGUGUUCGGGUUGUCAUGCCAAUGGCACUGCCCGGUAGCUAAAUGCGGAAGAGAUAAGUGCUGAAAGCAUCUAAGCACGAAACUUGCCCCGAGAUGAGUUCUCCCUGAGACUUUAAGUCUCCUGAAGGAACGUUGAAGACUACGACGUUGAUAGGUCGGGUGUGUAAGCGCAGCGAUGCGUUGAGCUAACCGAUACUAAUGAACCGUGAGGCUUAACCUU